GAAACCAUAUUUGCAGAGCUAGAAGUAUCACCAAGAGCAAUCUGUUGUCUGGCUUCAGCAUCAAUAAGCAUAGUCGCUACACCUUGAACAGUAUAUGGAACGCGACUGGCAGUAAUAAUAGUAAUCACCGAUUCAUACUCAAGUGAUAGACCAUUGAGAAUGGCAGUCACAUGCUCGCGUUCACUAAUAAUCUGACCGCAACUAGCAAGGUUGUCACAACAGCCUUUGAUCUUCAUCAAGAACUCUUUCAUGCUCAGAUCACCUUUCCGUUGAGAAUGCAAGGCUCGUCUAUAGAACAUCAGUCUAGAAGUGGUUUGACUGCCAUACAAGGU
Molecule: long non-coding RNA, 332 nt
Filed under: Gossypium barbadense (sea-island cotton)
Lineage: Eukaryota; Viridiplantae; Streptophyta; Magnoliopsida; Malvales; Malvaceae
Description: long non-coding RNA (GBAR_LNC022445)
Source: RNAcentral